This 82-nucleotide transfer RNA is filed under the name Oxynema mangrovii CENA135. RNAcentral describes it as "tRNA-Leu". It matches the Rfam family "tRNA". From Rfam's summary of the family: Transfer RNA (tRNA) molecules are approximately 80 nucleotides in length. Their secondary structure includes four short double-helical elements and three loops (D, anti-codon, and T loops). RNAcentral also lists the same sequence under 2 other names. The record is from RNAcentral. Lineage: Bacteria; Bacillati; Cyanobacteriota; Cyanophyceae; Oscillatoriales; Oscillatoriaceae.
GCGGACGUGGCGGAAUUGGUAGACGCGCUAGAUUUAGGUUCUAGUGCCGUAAGGCGUGAAGGUUCAAGUCCUUUCGUCCGCA